This 69-nucleotide transfer RNA is filed under the name Mus musculus (house mouse). Its description in RNAcentral is "tRNA-Thr". The record is from RNAcentral. Lineage: Eukaryota; Metazoa; Chordata; Mammalia; Rodentia; Muridae.
GGAAGUAUGGCUCAGUGGCAGAGUGCUUGGCUAGUAUGCAAAAGGUCCCAGGUUCAAUCCCUAAAACCA